This is a long non-coding RNA of Centrocercus urophasianus (Greater sage-grouse), 583 nucleotides long. RefSeq lists it as uncharacterized. NCBI's taxonomy places the organism in Eukaryota, Metazoa, Chordata, Aves, Galliformes, Phasianidae. The transcript has 3 exons. The record is from RefSeq and is a predicted model, not a curated record.
GGUUGGAAAACAUUUCCUUUGGAGGCUGUAGUAUUCCUUUCAGUGUAUUACAGUGGCCCGGAAGAUGCUGUCAGUGGAGAUAAAAGAGUGGCAUGAUGGCUGCAAGAGACAAGGGUCAAGAAAGUGUGCUCCAUGUGUUGUGGUUUUCUGCUGGCCAGAAAAGAUGUCUUUUCAUCAUAACUCAUUCUGAAAUCCUCUGCACGAUGCAAUAGAAGGAACACCAAGCCGAGAGGAAGGCAACAUGGGGAACUGUUGUAAGCAGCUUGAACAUAUAACCAUAUGUGAAAGCCCCACUGGUUCUGGAAUUGGCUUAUGGACCCACAAUGAGUGGAGCAACCAGAAAGGAAUGCAGAAAUAAUGGAGAGCCCUCCCUGCCAUCUGCACCUUUGAGCCCACUGCAUCAUAGGAUUUUGCAGGCCCUGCCAUUACAAAAAUAACCAAAACCAAUUGAAAAAGUGUUCAGUCUUACAAAUCUCAAAAUAAAAGGAACCUUGGAUAUGAGUGACUUUUUCUCCCCUCUAAAUAUGCUGAACAGCCCUGGCUCUCGCAGCUUGUCCUUACAGUGGAGGUGCUCCAUCUCUGG